Molecule: transfer RNA, 74 nt
Filed under: Acidobacteriota bacterium
Lineage: Bacteria; Pseudomonadati; Acidobacteriota
Also listed under: 2 other names
Description: Acidobacteria bacterium (soil metagenome) tRNA-Glu
Rfam family: tRNA
About the family: Transfer RNA (tRNA) molecules are approximately 80 nucleotides in length. Their secondary structure includes four short double-helical elements and three loops (D, anti-codon, and T loops).
Source: RNAcentral
GGGGUGUUGGUGGAAUUGGUUACCACGCCGCCCUCUCAAGGCGGAGGCUACGGGUUCGAUCCCCGUACACCCUA